GAUGAACGCUAGCGGCAGGCCUAACACAUGCAAGUCGAACGCUCUUUUCGGAGAGAGUGGCGCACGGGUGAGUAACGCGUGGGAAUCUGCCCUUUGGUUCGGAAUAACCCUGGGAAACUAGGGCUAACACCGGAUGAGCCCCGAGUUCCGCGAGGGAGUUGGGGAAAGUUUACGCCGAAGGAGGAGCCCGCGUCCGAUUAGCUAGUUGGUGAGGUAAGAGCUCACCAAGGCUUCGAUCGGUAGCGGUCUGAGAGGACGAUCAGCCACACUGGGACUGAGACACGGCCCAGACUCCUACGGGAGGCAGCAGUGGGGAAUAUUGGACAAUGGGCGCAAGCCUGAUCCAGCCAUGCCGCGUGAGUGAUGAAGGCCUUCGGGUUGUAAGUAC
Molecule: ribosomal RNA, 388 nt
Filed under: uncultured bacterium
Lineage: Bacteria
Description: bacterial SSU rRNA
Rfam family: Bacterial small subunit ribosomal RNA
Source: RNAcentral